This 63-nucleotide transfer RNA is filed under the name Aporrectodea trapezoides. RNAcentral describes it as "tRNA-Val". The record is from RNAcentral. Lineage: Eukaryota; Metazoa; Annelida; Clitellata; Crassiclitellata; Lumbricidae.
CGAAGUAUAGCAUAUAUAAUGCUUUUUACUUACACUAAAAAUAAAACAUGUUGUUUGCUUCGC